RNAcentral lists this ribosomal RNA (810 nucleotides) under Streptomyces sp. ISP2-41-8. RNAcentral describes it as "bacterial SSU rRNA". It matches the Rfam family "Bacterial small subunit ribosomal RNA", at positions 60 to 884 of the family's 1533-position model. Lineage: Bacteria; Bacillati; Actinomycetota; Actinomycetes; Kitasatosporales; Streptomycetaceae. The record is from RNAcentral.
AGUCGAACGAUGAACCACUUCGGUGGGGAUUAGUGGCGAACGGGUGAGUAACACGUGGGCAAUCUGCCCUUCACUCUGGGACAAGCCCUGGAAACGGGGUCUAAUACCGGAUACAACACUCUCGGGCAUCCGAUGAGUGUGGAAAGCUCCGGCGGUGAAGGAUGAGCCCGCGGCCUAUCAGCUUGUUGGUGAGGUAACGGCUCACCAAGGCGACGACGGGUAGCCGGCCUGAGAGGGCGACCGGCCACACUGGGACUGAGACACGGCCCAGACUCCUACGGGAGGCAGCAGUGGGGAAUAUUGCACAAUGGGCGAAAGCCUGAUGCAGCGACGCCGCGUGAGGGAUGACGGCCUUCGGGUUGUAAACCUCUUUCAGCAGGGAAGAAGCGAAAGUGACGGUACCUGCAGAAGAAGCGCCGGCUAACUACGUGCCAGCAGCCGCGGUAAUACGUAGGGCGCGAGCGUUGUCCGGAAUUAUUGGGCGUAAAGAGCUCGUAGGCGGUCUGUCGCGUCGGAUGUGAAAGCCCGGGGCUUAACCCCGGGUCUGCAUUCGAUACGGGCAGACUAGAGUGUGGUAGGGGAGAUCGGAAUUCCUGGUGUAGCGGUGAAAUGCGCAGAUAUCAGGAGGAACACCGGUGGCGAAGGCGGAUCUCUGGGCCAUUACUGACGCUGAGGAGCGAAAGCGUGGGGAGCGAACAGGAUUAGAUACCCUGGUAGUCCACGCCGUAAACGGUGGGAACUAGGUGUUGGCGACAUUCCACGUCGUCGGUGCCGCAGCUAACGCAUUAAGUUCCCCGCCUGGGGAGUACG